Molecule: long non-coding RNA, 5202 nt
Filed under: Gossypium barbadense (sea-island cotton)
Lineage: Eukaryota; Viridiplantae; Streptophyta; Magnoliopsida; Malvales; Malvaceae
Description: long non-coding RNA (GBAR_LNC008359)
Source: RNAcentral
AAGUGGCCCAAAACCUAAAUAGAAAAUAUCUAGAUAUUUUCUGAAUAGUCUAGAAUGCUAAUUAAAUGUGCGUAAUCAAUGCCCAGUCAGAAAAUGCUAUGAAUCGUCUUGUCAUCUAAGUACCAUUUUUGCUUUUUCUUUCUAACGAUUCAUUUCUAACCCAUCAAGUACAGCAAUAUAGUUGUUUAUGAAGUCUACUAGUUGCUGCCCUGUACUGUUUUUCUGUUCAUGUAUUAUUCUGUUUCUUUCUCCCCAUAUAGUCCACAAUCCACAACAGAAAAGACAACUCUGAUGCGAAGAAAGCUAGUCAAAGAUGCAGGUAAUCCAUUGUAGAAAAUCCAUAUAAAGCUCCCGAAUAAUAUUCUGCAUUUUUAAUAGUGUCCAAACAUCCACUGUGACAGGGCAUUCACGAAAGAUAUGGUCGAUCAUUUCAGCUCUUUCUCCACAUCAAGGGCAACUUGUAUUGCUUACAAGUUUUCGAUGCUGCAUAUUAACCCUUGUCGGCAAAUAAUUCCAUGAGAUUUUCCAUAUUGUAAUCUUGAUUUUAUUUGGUAGAUUUAAGAGCCAUAGUUUUUUGUAGAAAUUUCUGUAGCCAGUUUGUAAUGCGUAAGCUCUAAGGAUUUCAUCAAAAGUUUGUAAUAGUUUAUAAGUGCUGUGGACUGAAAACUCGCCUGAAUGCUCGCCUCUCCAGACCAGUAGAUCAUCAUGAGGUGCGCUUGCUAAAGGUAUCCAGAGGAUUUUUCCAGCAUCAUCCUCUGAAAAGUUAUUGUUUAUAAAUUCUCUUUUCCAUGCUCUUUCAUUACUAUCGAUCAAUUCACUGACCUUGGCAUCUUGCAUAAAAUUAACAACUGAAGAUAACUUAAAAUUGACAGCAUCUGGAAUCCAAGCAUCAGCAUUUAUAAAAAUAUUUGUGCAUGUGCCAACCCUUCAGCACAUUCUUUUUUCCAAAACACCCUUCGCUGCCCAUAUGCUUUUCCAUAUAUAAGAGCUGGUUUUUCCCAAUCGAGACUUUAAGAAAUGAUCAUUCAGAAAAUAUUUUGCUUUAAAAACUUACGUAACUAAAGAGUCCUGAUUAGUAAUGAGCCUCCACCCUUGUAGCAAGUAGAGAAAUAUUGAAUUACGCCAUAUUUCUAAAUCCUAAUCCCCCCUCUUCUUUUGAUCGACACAUGAAUUUCCAUUGACACCAGUGUAUCCCUUUCCUACCUUGUCCUUUGUGCCACCAGAAUUUAGUGAAAAUAUUUUCUAACUCCCCUCAUAACGAUUUUGGUAGAAGGAAACAUGACAUAGCGUAAGUUGGAAUUGCUUGAAGAACUGAUUUUAUAAAUAUCUCAUUUCCCCCUUGUGAAAGUAACCUAGUACUCCAACUUACAAUUCUCAGCUUAAUUUUAUCUUUGAGAUUCUGAAAAGCUUCCUUCUUUCGCUUUCCUACAACAUUAGGAAGUCCUAGAUAUUUUUCCAUAUUUGUGGAGCUUCUCACAUUUAGCAAACUCGAUAUUUCUUCUUUCUCCUGUUCUGUUGUAUUUGUGCUAUAGAAAAUUGUUGAUUUGUUGUAGUUUACACAUUGACCUGAGCACUGUUCAUAUUCCUUCAAAAUAUCUUUGAAAAUUUCCCCCCUCGUUGUGUCGCCUCACCAAACAGUAUACAGUCAUUUGAAAAAAGCAAGUGCGAUUUUUCAGGUUCUCUUUUACUAGCUCUUACUCCCUUCAUCGAUCCCUCAUCUAUGGCCAUUCUUAUUAAAGACGAGAGUCCAUCACAGCAUAUCAAAAAAAGAAAAGGGCUGAGCGGGUCAUCUUGACGAAGCCCUCUAGUAGGCUUAAAAACCUCUCUUCUUCUCCCAUUGAUGUUCACUGUAUAAGAGACUAUAGAGAUGCACUUCAUGAUUAAUGUUACCCAUUCUAUAACAAAUCCCAUUUGAAGCAUAACUUCUUUUAAAAAAGCCCACUCAACUCUAUAGUAAGCUUUGCUCAUAUCUAGCUUAACUGCCAUCAGCCCUUUUUUCCCAUUCCGUCGUUGACUUAGCGUAUGCAAGAGUUCAUAGGCUACAAACACAUUGUCAGUAAUUAACCUUCUGGGAACAAAAGCACUUUGAACCUUAUCAAUACAUUUUCCAAUGACUUUCUGAAGAUGAUUUGAAAUUACUUUUGCCACAAUUUUAUAUAGAACUGUGCAUAAGUUGAUAGGUCUAAAAUUAACAAGACUUGUGGGGUUUGGUAACUUUGGGAUAAGCACAACAUCUGUAAGGUUUAGAGAGUCAAAAUCUCGUCCUUCAUUCAGUAUGCCUAAACAAAAGUUUUUGACAUCUAUACCUAUAAUGUGCUAGAAUUUUUGAAAAAAUAAAGCUGGAAAUCCAUCAUAAUCUGGUGCUUUAGUGGGCCCCAAUUCUUUCAAGGCUGAAAAUACCUCUUCUGCUGUAAAAGGUACUAGUAAAUCUGUGUUAAUAUCAGAUGAGAUAUUAGAAUGAAUACCUUUUAGAAUGUGGGAUAGAUUCCUAAUACCAUUUGACGAAAUAAAUUCUGGAAGUAAUUUGAGGCUGACUCAUUAAUUGCUGAUUCAUCAGAACUUUCCCUCCUAUCAUCAGAUUCCAGCUUAGUAAUCAUGUUUGUUCGUCUAUGAGCUGUGGCAUAUUUUUGGAAAAAGGCAUAAGUUUUGUUGCCCAAUUAAAUCCAAUUGGCUCGCGCCCUUUGUUCCCAAUACAUUUCAUCCUUAUCUAUCUCCAUAUUAAGAUGAAUUUUUGUAUCAAUCAGCUUUGUGAUUGUGUCAUCAUCUCUGUCGCCUGCCAAAAGAUCUUCAAUUUCCUUUGUGAGCUUACUCUUCAACCCAUCUCUACCCUUUUUUAUUGAGUUUGCCCACCUCCUCAAUCUUGUCUGCAGCCUUUCUAGCCUUUGAGCAAUAGUUCCAUUUGAUGACUCCCACGAUGUUUUAAUCUAUUGUUUAAUAGAUUCCUCCAUGAUCCACCAUGCCUCGAAUUUAAAACUUGGUAUCCUCUUAUAGCUAAUCUUAUUGUUGUUAUUGAUUAGUAAGGGACAAUGAUAUAAAAUCCAGUGUGUUAAAUACUAAAUAACUCCUUUUGGGAAAAGUGCCAGCCAUUUUUCAUUCGCCACUCCCCUAUCCAAUCGCUCUCUAAUAUUCAUUUUCGGUAGAUUCUGUAUCACUUCUUAACCCCGUCCCGUCGCCAGAACAGGACUACGAAGUAUUACAGGUCAUUACAGUACAUUUACACGUAAAACAGAAAUAAAUGUAAUACUGUACAUCUUAUUAUACUUUUAAUGUAUUUAAAAAGUAUAUCUUAAACAAACCGGGGCUCGAUCAGAAGCUUAAAAAAUUUUUCGUAAAAUUUCAAUGUAACACCCCUUACCCGAGACCGUUUCCGGAGUCGAGCACGAGGCAUUACUUAGCUUAUCUUACCAAUUCGGAGCAUAAAAACUAGGUUUGAAAAUUUAUUUCACUAUUUACAGCAAAUCUGUCCAAUCGCGCAGCAGUUGCUAAAUUAAUUAUAACUUGAGCUACAGAACUCGAAAUUUAAUUCCGUAAAUUUUCCCUGAAACUAGACUCAUAUAUCUACUCACCAUAAAAUUUUUAGAAUUUUUGGUUCAGCCAAUUAGUACAGUUUAUUAGUUAAAGUCUCCCCUGUUUCACCAUUCGACUAUUCUGACCUCUUGUUACUAAAAAUAAGUUUUCUCACUGUAGGAUUUUCAUAUGAAGUUCUUACUUGUUUCUACGGAAAAUAGACUCAUUAAGGAAUCUAAGCAUGUAAAUUUCAACUCAUAACCAUUUUUGUACAAUUUUUAAUUAUUUUCUAAACUCAGAACAGGGGACUCCAAAAAUAGUUCUGACCCUAUCUUACUAAAAUUCAUAUAUCUUAAAAUAUAAAUUUCCUUUUUCUACACCGUUAUUUUUCCAUGAAAAUAGACUCAUAUUUUAUUCUUUUUGCUUCCUUUUUAUAGUAUAUUCCUUUGUCGUCAUCUUCAAUUUCUAACUCCUCCGGUUUUCUUUUCCUCAAAAUACUCUCACCAUUAGCCAUGUCCGUCUCUCUAGUUGCCUCAACUCUCUUCCAGCUCGAUUUCUUUGCUAAAGAAUAAUGAGGACCAUCUCUAAUUUUAUUUUUUCUACAAGUGUAAACGUGAGGCAUUCAUUGGGCCCAUGCCCUAUCCUUCCACAGCCAAAACAAGAAGUUGGUAAUUUUUCAUAUUUAAAUGGGAUCCAGGACUUACUUUGAUUUUCUGUUGAGAUGAAAAUACCCUUGCGCAACGGUUUUUGCACAUUUAACUGAACUCUAAGUCGAUAGAAAUCACCAUUAAUUGUAGAUCUCAGAACACCUCCAAAAGUAACCCCAAUAGCAUGCAUUAAAUCUUUUUUAUCAAUUUCUGGUAGACAUGGGCCGAUCUUAACCCAGUAUGGAGAUGAAUUAAGCCGAAUUCGACUCCUCUCUAUCGAUUUAGUCAACUGAUCAAACAACAUUAAAAUUUUCCGAAACAAUCAAGGCUGCCCCUCCAUAAUUAUCUCCAGAUCUUCUUCACCUUCAAACACUAUCAAUAAUAAAUUCUGCCCUGCCAAUUGGAUCUCAAACCUUUUCCUUGUCUUCCAUAUAUUUUUCAUCUGUGCCCUAAAGCUAUCUGGAUUAUAGGAUUUUUUGUCCAUAUAGUGCAAAGUAGGGUUGGCUUAUCACUGGGUGCCACCAUCGAGCUUUUAACUGAUAACUGAAUGAAUUCUUCUGCCAAAAGGGAGAUCUCCUCUCCUGUGAACCCCUCUUCGCCACCACUUUCCUUCAUCCCAAGCCGCAUAAAGACCUGUUCUCGCUAGGAUGCUAAGGAAAGCACUCUUGACUAGGGUUUAAUUUACUAUCUAAAAUUGCAUUGAAGCAUUUUCUAAAUCCAGCACUCUUAACAAUUUUAAACUUGAGGUAGGUCUAAUCACUUGAUAAGUAUUUGUAUUAUUUAUGAUUUAGCAAUGGUUUUUAUUUAAUCUCUAAGUAAAUAUUUUGAUGAGUCUCAAUAAUCAUUAUAUUUUGCUCAAAAUUUCAAGUUAUUUGUGUAUUUGUUUAAUGAUGUAUUUUUUAUUUCUUUUAUCUUUGAUGUAGGGAAAGAUGCCACAAGGAGAGGCCGGAAUUUGGAGGAGAAAGAACUACCAACCCUCUCAUCUUAGGCAACUUUUACUUCAACUGCGGUUAGCUGAACAGUUAAUCGAAUCAAACUAGUAUUAAUU